GAUGAAGAACGCAGCGAAAUGCGAUACUUGGUGUGAAUUGCAGAAUCCCGUGAACCAUCGAGUCUUUGAACGCAAGUUGCGCCCGAAGCCAUUAGGCCGAGGGCACGCCUGCCUGGCCGUCACACGUCGUUGCCCCCCCAUCUACUCCUUCGGGAUUGCGGGGGGCGGAUGAUGGCCUCCCGUGCGCCUCGCCGCGCGGUUGGCAUAAAUGCCAAGUCCUCGGCGACGCACGCCACGACAAUCGGUGGUUGCGAAACCUCGGUUGCCCGUCGUGUGCGGUCGUCGCGCAUCGAGGGCUCGAAAAAAUUGCCGGGUUCCGGCUCGGCUUUCAACGCGACCCCAGGUCAGGCGGGGUUACCCGCUGAAUUUAAGCAUAUCAAUAAGCGGAGGA
RNAcentral lists this unclassified non-coding RNA (391 nucleotides) under soil metagenome. RNAcentral describes it as "partial contains 5.8S ribosomal RNA, internal transcribed spacer 2, and large subunit ribosomal RNA". The stretch from base 1 to 122 matches the Rfam family "5.8S ribosomal RNA", at positions 35 to 154 of the family's 154-position model. The record is from RNAcentral.